This 892-nucleotide long non-coding RNA is filed under the name Rattus norvegicus (Norway rat). Its description in RNAcentral is "long non-coding RNA NONRATT008260". The record is from RNAcentral. Lineage: Eukaryota; Metazoa; Chordata; Mammalia; Rodentia; Muridae.
CCCUCUCCAAGAGACGCUAUCGCUGUGAUCUGUGCUGACUCCUUUAAAGGCCCCAUAGCCAGACCCUGGUCCUGGCCUUCUUGUCCCCAGUAGGACAGAGAGGAGGCGUGCAAACAAGUACCUGCCCUGUGCAUUUGGGUACAUAGUUCUUGGCCAAUGUACACGAGGUCUUGAAGCCAAUACUCAGUCCUUCUCCUGAGACUUAGGAGUGGACCCAUGGUGGGACCUAGACCUGAGACAGCUCUACUGGAGUAACUAGGGCCCCAGAAAUGUUCCUGACUCUUAAUGACACUAAGGCUUUCUGGCUAGGCACACUGCUGAGGUCUUCAGACGACAAGGCAGAGCCCUCCUGGAGCGCAGAGCCCUCCUGGAGCCCACAGCCCUUGGGGAAUUCGGACUUCAGAAGUGCUCACGGGACACUUGGUUCCACGCCAGACAUUAAAGAUCCAGAGCCCCGACCCAUCCGUCCUCGUUUCCGAUCAUUUCCUUUCUCUUCCAAUGCAGGAUGCCCGCUCCAUGGCUGCCGCCGCCGCAUCCAUUGGAGGACCCCGAGCAAACACCGUCCUGGAGCGGGUGGAAGGCGCUCAGCAGCGAUGGAAGCUACAGGUGCAGGAGCAGCGGAAGACGGUCUUCGAUCGACACAAGAUGCUCAGUUAGAUGAUUGCCAUGGCAGUGUCAGGGACCCAGACCUCGGCUACCAGCUUCUGGGGCAGUCUUCCCUGGGUCUUCCCUUCAAAUGCCCGUGGCAUUUGUCCUUCUCCCUCUCUCUAGAAAUGUACUCGACUGUUAUAACUAGGGAGUGGGAUUGGGUCUUUGGUCUCUAGUGUCUCUGUAGGUCUCUGGGGUAGAAGGGAGGGAAAGGAAGGCAGAAGAGAACAGAGAUGGUUGAGAC